CACCCUAAGAACGCACCAACCCAGGGCCAAGGCUGAGUAUUUUGGUUGUUUCGUGAUUUAAAGAGAAUCAGUGCCCUAAAGAGUAACUCUAUCAGCACGGAAAAGCUAUGAAGGAUUUUUUCUGGUUCAUUUGGAGCACAUUUGAAGGGUGAAAAAGAAGACAGAGGAAGCUUGAGAGACUCGAGCCUGGACACUAGCCAUGGAGGAGGAUUAUAUGAAGAACAGUCACCCUGAUGUCAUAAGGCAGCAGCACAUGAGCAACGUGGAUAAGGGCUACUCUGAGAGCAAGCGUGCCGAUUCGGGGCCAAAUGGUUGCAUGCGGUGCUGCAUGAGUACCAAGAAAUGCCUGAUGAGCCCAGAAUGUGGCAGAGCACUCAGCAUCGCUAAUGUCAUCGCCAUGUGUGGCAUGUGUAUCCGGAUGUGGACGUAGAUGUCUACUGCUUCUGAAUCAAGAAAAGCUUGUCUCCUGGUGGCUGCCGCCCUGAACUUAGAACAAUAGGAGGCAUCAUGAUUAUGGAAUCUCUACUAAACCUUUACUAAACAACCAUUAUAACACACCCUUAGGUUGAACUCCAUUUUAUUUUAUCACCUCUAUCAAUAAUAAUAUAUCUUUGAAAACACGGCCAACAUUGCAGCAUAUCUGUAAGUAAACAAUUUUAAAUAGGAGAAAGGGUAAUGAAAAUGUAAUGUAAAAAAUGAUUCUCCGAAUGGAUGAAUAACAUUAAUUUUUAAUGUAUAAAACAUGUCAAGGAUGUUACAUGGAUGCCAUCCUCAGGUCUCUGUCUUCCCUCAGCUGCUCUGUCUUAGCAUUUGUAGAAGUGACUGAGUGCCUGCAGGUGAACAAUCAGAAAAACCCAGACCUUGAUUUUAACAAUCCACCACUUUAUGCCUCAACAAAAACCCUGGGUAUUAGAUACUUUUAGCUCAGAACAGUGCUGUGAAGGGUGAUUUUUCAACUACUUUCUGCUACAGAUUAUUCAGUGCCGCUCUACGAUUGUCAUCUGCAGCUAAAGUAAUUAAACUGAAAAGACUGGUAGUACUGGAGGUCAUGUUCAUUUAGUCAUUUAGUGUUUAAUUUUCAUUUUGUUGACAAUUUUUCAUGGUUAAUUACCGUAAAUCAGUUAAGUAAGUUAAUCAUUUGAAGUGUCUUCCCCCACAAUUGUAAUGCUUUUUAUUUGCAUAUGAGUAAUGAAGAAUAGUUGCCUUUUUGGAAUUCUCAACACAUAACCUCAUGUAUUCUAUUAUUCUCAUAACUGAUUAUGAACUAACUAAAACACUUGUCGUUUUUCUAAAUUUCACAAAUUUCACAAAAAAGUGACAUUUCUGACUUUGAUUUACUGCUCUCUGCUCUUCAAAAUACAAAGAAAACAUGAUACAUA
Pangasianodon hypophthalmus (striped catfish) is the source of this 1379-nucleotide long non-coding RNA. RefSeq lists it as uncharacterized. Lineage: Eukaryota; Metazoa; Chordata; Actinopteri; Siluriformes; Pangasiidae. The record is from RefSeq and is a predicted model, not a curated record. The transcript is spliced from 3 exons.